Cavia porcellus (domestic guinea pig) is the source of this 867-nucleotide long non-coding RNA. RefSeq lists it as uncharacterized. NCBI's taxonomy places the organism in Eukaryota, Metazoa, Chordata, Mammalia, Rodentia, Caviidae. The transcript is spliced from 3 exons. The record is from RefSeq and is a predicted model, not a curated record.
CUGACUCAAAAAAAGAAGUGUAAGCGUGGUACGCGAGUGGAGAAGGCUGCGGGCCAGGGUGCACUCGGAGGGCUACGGUGCUGCUAACAGUAGAUUCAAAAUCAGGGUCGAAUACCGGGCCUAAAGAGAAGAAAAGCUAGUGCUAAGCCCUCUCUACCAAAGGUAUGUUAGGGUCAGAAAGAAGGUAUACUUUACAGAGUAUGAAUACAAGGCGAGGAGGAAAGAACAGGGGGUGUUUAACAAUAAGGAAAGAAAAAUGAGCGGAACAGAGCAGGACGUGUUUCCAGAGGAAAAGUGGGAGUAAACCCCAGGUUCUACUUAGUUUAGAGGGCAGAAGGGACAGUCCAAGGGACUGAGGGGAGUGGCAAUGAACAGGAAACUACGAUGCUAAAGACGACAACUUGGGGGAGGACGCGAUACUGAUGAAUAAAGAUGUAUAGAGAAGUCACACAACUGAUAAACAAUGAAUCCAGAAGAAGCAUAGGUCUGAUGACUUGUAAAAGCAACAAGCAACCUCCUGAAAGAAUUUAUUGACUGUGACACUGCACUCCCCAAGAUGACCAGAUGAACAAAGCCAGAAGUCUGUGGAGACGCCAUGCAGCACAAAGCAAAAGGACCCCCCUGGACAGCAGCCCCCAAGGACCGCAAGAAAACUGGGCUUCGGCCCUGCAUCCUUAUGAAAUCCUGCUGACAACAGCAUGAGCUCAGAAGAUCCUGAGCUCCACAGAAAAACACUCCCGAUGCGUGGCACAGUGGCACAUGUCUGUUAGCCCAGCACUCCAGGGACUGAGGCAGAAUAAUCACAAUUUGAGUUGCCUGGGCAACUUACUAAGACAUUUUAAAAAAGAAAAGAAAAGAAAAAAGAAA